This 5516-nucleotide long non-coding RNA is filed under the name Medicago truncatula (barrel medic). Its description in RNAcentral is "long non-coding RNA (MTRU_LNC006174)". Lineage: Eukaryota; Viridiplantae; Streptophyta; Magnoliopsida; Fabales; Fabaceae. The record is from RNAcentral.
AGAUAGAUCUAAUGUGAUGAUAUUUCUGAGGAACCCCAACUCAAGAGGAAUGGAACCUUGAAUGUUGUUGUGAGAGAUGUUUAGUAGUUGUAACUGGUUGAGAUUUCCUACUGGACCUUUAAGAUAAUUGCUAGACAAAUCAAGGUCAGUGAGUCUAUUGUGAGAUAGAUCAAAUGUAAUGAUAUUUUUCAGGAACACCAACUCAAAAGGAAUGAAACCUUGAACAUGGUUGUGAGAGAUGUUUAGAUGUUGUAACUGUUUGAGAUUUCCCAAUGAAGAAGGUAUCUCACCUUUGAAUAUAUUGUUAGAUAGACCUAGUGUAGAAAGAUUUUUGAGGAAGCCCAACUCAAAAGGAAUAUGACCUUCAAUGUAGUUGUCAGAGAUGUCUAGGUUCUCUAAUUGUUUUAGAUUUCCUAGUGAAGAAGGUAUCUGACCUUUGAAUCUAUUGUAAGAUAGAUCUAAGAAAGUGAGAUUUUUUAGCAACCACAAUUCAGAAGGUAGCUGACCUUUAAGAAAAUUGGCAGACAAAUCAAGAUGAGUGAGUUUGGAGAGAUUUCCUAGUGAAGGAGGUAGCUGACCUUUAAGAAAAUUGGCAGACAAAUCAAGAUGAGUGAGUUUGGAGAGAUUUGCUAGUGAAGGAGGUAGCUGACCUUUAAGAAUAUUGGCAGACAAAUCAAGAUGAGUGAGUUUGGAGAGGUUUCCUAGUGAAUGAGGUAGCUGACCUUCAAGAUUAUUGUAAGACAUGUUAAGAUGAGUGAGCUUGGAGAGAUUUCCUAGUGAAGAAGGUAUCUCACCUUUGAAUCUAUUGUUAAAUAGAUCUAAGAAAGUGAGAUUUUUUAGCAACCACAAUUCAGGAGGUAGCUGACCUUCAAGAAAAUUGGCAGACAAAUCAAGAUGAGUGAGUUUAGAGAGAUGACCAAUUUCUUUUGAGAUAGUCCCUUCUAGUGUAAUUUUUCUUAGAACAAGGCUUUCUAGAUUUUUGAAACAAGCCAAGUUGAGAGUAGACAAGUUGCGUGUUUUAAAAUCAUACUCCCAGGCAGCGUAUGUAGAAUCAUCAGAGUCUAUCUUAAUUGCUAUUAUGCUUCCAGCAUCGUUGCAAAAUAUACCAUGCCCAUGACAACGAUCAGAGAUAUUGAAGUUUGCAUCAGAAGUGUUCCACCAUCCACUAUUUAAUAUAGCAUUUGCUUCCAUUUGAAGUUGAUGAGAUGUCAUUGUGGCAGAUUGAGUUCCCUCAACCAAACCACAAAUUAUAAGAAGAAAGACCAUCCACAUUUUUGGACCAAAGAAAUUUGAAACUAAAUAUUUUAUCAAGUUCAUAUUUUUUCUAUGAGAUGUGAUGAAUGACCAUCAAAAACCUUUAUGAUGUUGUGUUAACCCACUUAUUUCUUUUCUUUUUGAGCGCUGGACCUUUUAUUUCUAUUUUCUAAGGACCUUUUUUUUUUAAAGUACCUUUAAAAAAGAUCCAUGUGUUUCUCACUUAUUUUACUUUUUUGUUAGAUUAUAAUCAUGGGAACUUUUGAUUUAUUGCUUCUUCCGGUAGGCCAAACAAAAGGUGGAUUCAAAUCGACUCUAUAACAUCAAUCUGUUAUCAUUAAAAAAAAAAUCAGUUUGAAUCCUGACCGGAGAAAUUAUUAAGAAGACUUGCUUGUUGGACCAGUUUAUGAUAAUAGAACAUUAUGACGUAAUUUGAUCCAAGUAGCCGACCCCACUUAGUGGGAUAAGACUUGGUUGUCGUUAUUGUUGUUAAAUCCUGGCUGGAACAAUCCUUGGCUAGACAUUACCUACCUUCUAGCUGAACUCCGGAUUAUCUAAGACCCUUUCUCCUAAGAACCGAAGGGUUAAGACCACAAAAACAUGCAAGCCAUAUCCCACUAAUUGGGGUCGACUACAUUGAUCAAAUUAAGCCUUAAUGUUCAAUCAUAAACCAUAUUUUAAUCCAACUCAUUAAUCUAAUGAUUUUUCUAAAUAGUUUCUCUUAUAGUUUUUUAGGUCUACCUCUGCCUCUAGCAAUCUGACUAUCUUCCAUCUUAUCUACUCUCCUUACUAUAGCAUCUACAAGUUUUCUCUCAACAAGUCCAAACAACCUAAUUCUAGUUUUCCUCUCCUUACUGUCAUCUAAAAGUCUUCUCUCUACACAAAAAACAUUUCUCUCUUAAAAAUUAAAAAUCAGACUUGAUAUCAAUUUGGUGAUAUUUUUGGCCUUCUGCCAUCGACAACACCGAUUUUAUUGAAAAAAAACGUUAUUUUUUGUGAUCCACAAUUGACAACAGUGGUCUAUAUUGCACACUUGUACUUGCUAGUUUAAAACAAUAGUAGUAUACUCAACUUUAAGCAUUCACUGCUCUUGAUGUUGUCUGUACUUGACUUCUCAGUAUGGUAUAUCGGUGUUGUCAAAUAGCAAUGUUCCCAAAUUUGAACAAAUUGCUAUAGUUUCGGGAUAUGCUAUUUAGUUCUAAGUGUGGCCAAAUGUCAACUAUAACGGCGACAUACCACUAUAGCGUUGUGGAAUUUAAAGGUUUAAAUAAAUUGGUAUUAUUCUGCAAUACACUUUUUGUACCAACUGUUGUCAAAUUGUGGCUAUAGCACUGUAGUGUAAUUUGGACUCGCUAGUUUCAUGCUCCUUUAUGCAGUAGCAAUUCACUCACCUUUGAACAUUUUAUGUGUUUAAUGCCAAUCAUUCUAUGCCGAAUUUUUAAUGGAACACUGGAGUUUGAAUACGAGUGAAAUUUUGGGAGUUUUGAGUCCCAUAGCUUUCUGGAGUGAAAUAUUCGAACAAUGGAAAGAAGCUAAUGAGGAAGCAAGAGAAAAAAUGUUUAGAGACAUAUUGGCUAAAAGAACAGCAGAAUAAGAAUGCCAUUCCUGAUAUCCUUAGCCACUUGCUCUCAUUGCACUCAAGCUAAUGAGGAAGCUAACUAGUAAGGCAAUGCAUCUGAUAAUAAUCACCAAGUACAUCAAGAAUUUUUUUUGUUGAAUUUGUAAACCUUGAGAUAUUGAUUGAAUCAAUUGCAAUACCUUUAUCUUUUAAUUCAGUUAUCAUAAUAAUUGAAACAGAAGUAAUUCAAUUUUAUACAAAAACAGAAAUGUGAAUACAUAUAUACUUAUGUUUGAUGUAUCACAACAACAAAGUUUUACAGCAUUUUUCAACAACUUUUGGGAAAAAAAAGGCAAUGUCUUUAUUAUUAUAAUAACACACUCAACUUAAUUCAUUCUGAAGUUUUCUUUCAAGGGUUCGCAAUACAAAACAAUGCUUUAAGUUCUUCACUCAUUAGUUGCUGCACUGAAAUUUCACUGAAAGGAAUACUUAAUCGUGGAAGCUCGGUGACAAAACUUUGCGACACACAUUUCAUUGUUGGUCGAGAACGAGGAUUGACAUUUAAGCAUGCAAAUGCUACCACGGCAGCAUGAAUUAUGUCACGUAUAACUAUGUCAUUAUUUGGAAGUGGAAGACGGUGGUCUAAUACUUGACAUAGUUUGAGACUUUGUGUCGAUGUUGAUUGAAGUGAUGACAAUAAAUCCCCAGGGUGCCUUCCAACUAAAGUUUCAAGUGCCACUACACCAAAACUAUAUACAUCACACUUUUCAUUAACAGCCAUAGUAUAGGCAAGUUCUGCAUUGAUCAAAUCACUAUGAAUAUUUAAAAGAAUCCAAAGAAAAUAAUUUAAAAUUACUACUUAGCAUGAAAAACUAAUGAACAUGUAUAUUAUUUUUGUGGAUUAUGAAUAUACAUGUUGUGCUUCAUAUAAAAAUGAACGGAAAAAAAAAAAAAACAUAACAAGAAAAGAAAAAAUAGCAAUGGUUAAUUUACCUGGAGCUAUAUAUCCAAUAGUUCCAGCAACUAUAGUUCGAUUGGAUGAAUCAUAUUGAAGGAGCCGAGCUAUGCCGAAGUCACAAACACUGGCCUGCCACUCAGAGUUUAGCAAGAUAUUGCUAGUAGAUACAUCUCGAUGCACUAUUGGAGCAGUGCAAUCAUGAUGAAGAUAUGAAAAAGCAAAUGCAACUCCUUUAAUAGUGUUAACCCUUUUCCUCCACUUGAAUUCCACGACUUUUACAUCAUCAUACAAGACAGAGAACAAGCUUCCUUUCUCCAUGUAUUGAUAGAUCAAAAACAUGAUUCUUUUGUGCAAGCAGAAUCCAUAAAGCUUCACAAUAUGUCGGUGCUUUAUUUCUGAUAAUAUUCUCACUUCAUUUCUGAAACUAUCAUCAAAAGAUGGAACCUCUGCUUCAUAGCGGUGAAGUUUCUUUAAGGCAACAACCUUGCCACUUGGUAAUUGUGCCUUGUAAACACUUCCAUAUGCUCCUGUUCCAAUGCAAUAUCUCAUGUCAAAGUCUUCUGUUGCUUUGAUGAUGUCAUCAUAUGCUAUCUUCCCAUCAAAAUUCCAUAUACAAAACAUAUCUCCAUUCUUUGUUUUUGUUGAGUUUCCUUGCGAUUUCUUAGUAGAAUUAUGAUGACGAUACAAGCAUAUGAGAAGUGAGAAGACUAGGAUUAGAGCAAUAAGGAUCGGAAGAACAAUGAUGACAAUGUGCUUUAAUUUUUUAUUUUUCUUGUGUGUUGGCCAAGGAUGGAAUUGGUGAAAAGACAUUACAGAGAGAUUACAAAGAGAUUGGGGAAUUGCUCCAUUGAGAUUAUUAUUUCCCUUAUUCUUUGUAUAAACCUGAAGACAAUUUGGAAUGGGACCCUCCAAACAAUUGUAUGAAAUGUCCACAUAAUAGACAUUACAGAGAGAUUGGGGAAUUGUUCCAGUGAGAUUAUUAUUGCUUAAAUUAAGUUCGUGAAAACCUCGAAUAUGAGAAGGGAUUUGACCGCUAAUGAGGUUGUGACUGAGGUCCAUGAAAAAUAAAUUAUCAUUAAAUGGAAAAAAUUUGGAAGGAAGCGUACCUAUGAGUAAAUUAUAUGAGAUGUCAAGGUAAUCUAAUUGUGUAAGAUUUGUAAGAAAAUUAGGCAAGUUUCCAUUGAGUCUAUUGUGAGAUAGAUCUAAUGUGAUGAUAUUUCUGAGGAACCCCAACUCAAGAGGAAUGGAACCUUGAAUGUUGUUGUGAGAGAUGUUUAGUAGUUGUAACUGGUUGAGAUUUCCUACUGGACCUUUAAGAUAAUUGCUAGACAAAUCAAGGUCAGUGAGUCUAUUGUGAGAUAGAUCAAAUGUAAUGAUAUUUUUCAGGAACACCAACUCAAAAGGAAUGAAACCUUGAACAUGGUUGUGAGAGAUGUUUAGAUGUUGUAACUGUUUGAGAUUUCCCAAUGAAGAAGGUAUCUCACCUUUGAAUAUAUUGUUAGAUAGACCUAGUGUAGAAAGAUUUUUGAGGAAGCCCAACUCAAAAGGAAUAUGACCUUCAAUGUAGUUGUCAGAGAUGUCUAGGUUCUCUAAUUGUUUUAGAUUUCCUAGUGAAGAAGGUAUCUGACCUUUGAAUCUAUUGUAAGAUAGAUCUAAGAAAGUGAGAUUUUUUAGCAACCACAAUUCAGAAGGUAGCUGACCUUUAAGAAAAUUGGCAGACAAAUCAAGAUGAGUGAGUUUGGAGAG